GACGAACGCUGGCGGCGUGCUUAACACAUGCAAGUCGAACGGAAAGGCCCUGCUUUUGUGGGGUGCUCGAGUGGCGAACGGGUGAGUAACACGUGAGUAACCUGCCCUUGACUUUGGGAUAACUUCAGGAAACUGGGGCUAAUACCGGAUAGGAGCUCCUGCUGCAUGGUGGGGGUUGGAAAGUUUCGGCGGUUGGGGAUGGACUCGCGGCUUAUCAGCUUGUUGGUGGGGUAGUGGCUUACCAAGGCUUUGACGGGUAGCCGGCCUGGGAGGGUGGCCGGGCACAUUGGGACUGAGAUACGGCCCAGACUCCAACGGGAGGCAGCGGUGGGGAAGAUUGCACAAUGGGCGGACGCCUGAUGCAGCAACGCCGCGUGCGGGAUGACGGCCUUCGGGUUGUAAACCGCUUUCGCCUGUGACGAAGCGCGAGUGACGGUAAUGGGUAAAGAAGCACCGGCUAACUACGUG
Molecule: ribosomal RNA, 468 nt
Filed under: uncultured bacterium
Lineage: Bacteria
Description: partial 16S ribosomal RNA
Rfam family: Bacterial small subunit ribosomal RNA
Source: RNAcentral